CCCUUAGAUGUUCUGGGCCGCACGCGCGCUACACUGAUGCAUUCAACGAGCCUAUCCUUGGCCGACAGGUCCGGGUAAUCUUUGAAUCUGCAUCGUGACGGGGAUAGAUUAUUGCAAUUAUUAAUCUUCAACGAGGAAUGCCUAGUAGGCGCAAGUCAUCAGCUUGCGUCGAUUACGUCCCUGCCCUUUGUACACACCGCCCGUCGCUCCUACUGAUUGGGUGUGCUGGUGAAAUGUUCGGAUCGGCCGUUUGUCGCGGUUUCCGCGUCAUGUGGCUGAGAAGUUCAUUAAACCCUCCCACCUAGAGGAAGGAGAAGUCGUAACA
Molecule: ribosomal RNA, 325 nt
Filed under: uncultured eukaryote
Lineage: Eukaryota
Description: partial 18S ribosomal RNA
Rfam family: Eukaryotic small subunit ribosomal RNA
Source: RNAcentral